GUGAGCGACAUUCCCGCGUGGGUCGGGUACCCGUCGCAUUGGUGGCUGGGGCCGGGCUUCAUGGAGAGACCGUCAGUGCCGCCCUAGCUCCAGAAGAAAGGAUUUUGUUUUGCCAGUUAUUGUAGUUGCUAAUGUCAUCAUCUACAUCAUUAUCAUCAUCGUAUUUUAAUUAAAAUAAUCGUCCAGGAGCAAGCGGCUUGUCCCUUUCAGCUUCUUUGGAGCGAUAACAAAGCAGCGCGGUUUCCCCCACCAGCUCUGUUUUGUAAGUUGCUGCAUUUGGGGUUAGGGAGAGAAGAUGGAGAGAGGGACAGACACAGAGAGUCGGUCAUAAAGCACAAAUUAACCCCGACCUCGGACACCAGGAGGGAGUGGAUUCCCCCUUCCUCCCACCGCGCCCCCCUAUUUGGAUCAGAAGAGGAGAAAGAAAAUCUCCCGCGUUGGGUUCAAAGCGCAAGGAAGAAUUAUUCUUGUAUUUCCACCAAAGCUGGGGCAAAAAUAAGGAGGUCUUUGCAUUUAAUCCAAGACUUCCAUGUGUGAUCAUAAACUGGACGAUUUAGGGAAAACACAUUGAACAAAACCCUCCGGAGGGGGAAAAAAGCGACCUAAAUCUCGCUACCGCUACACCCUAGGAAGCAGCGUUGGAUUUGCACACCCCCCUCCCCCCCCCCCCCCCCCACCCCGCGCUUUGCCUUGUUUACUGCUGUAAGGAAUUGUUAGAAUUCUCCCCUCCUCUGCCGGUCCGAACGCUGAAAAAUCGAAAAUCCGAAAAAUCGAAAAUCGUUGCGUAGGAAUGGUUGAGGGGCCGGCACGGGGUUCUUUCUUUUUUCUUUUUCUUCAUCAGUAGGAAGAAAAGAAGGGACCCGGAUAGAUCAGAUAUCCCGCCCCCUCCUCCCCAUCCUCUCGACCGCCCAGGACCACACCGCGGCCUAACUGCUGGUCUCCCAGCGAGAGAGGGGGAAAGGAAAGACCCUCGUUCACAGGCUGGACCUCGGCUCCCGCCUCUCUCCGGCGGAGGAGUGAGAUCCUAUUCAGAGGGACCGGUCUCUCUAAAUAUGCCCCAGGAGCUCCGGGGAUCCCCGUCUUGUUCAGGCACACAUGGAAACGUGUGGCGGUGAGGCAACAGGAGAUGAAGAUCCGCUUUUGGGGGCUGCGAGCUGGGUCUUGGCCGCGCAAAGACAGAGGAGUUGUAGUGGUCGAAUACUGUAGUGUGACUCAGAUCGAAACCUUCGCCCCGAUCCUUCAUCCUCCCCAAAUAAAAACAAACAAAAAUCA
Molecule: long non-coding RNA, 1272 nt
Filed under: Equus asinus (donkey)
Lineage: Eukaryota; Metazoa; Chordata; Mammalia; Perissodactyla; Equidae
Description: lncRNA (ENSEASG00005031302.1)
Source: RNAcentral